CUCCUGAGGAAUGACUCCUCCUGGCCUUAAUCUUAAACCGUCUGCUCGUGACGUACCGAGCGCUUCGACAACAAACCGACGCGCUGACGGACACUUCAGAGGAGACAUGUACUCCUCUUCAUCACCGCCUCCUCCUCCUCCUGAACAACUGGUCUUCUCACAGAAGUCAGUGUGAGCUGCGCUGAGCGUGUGAACACGACGACGGAGACUUUCACAGGAUGGAGGCCGGAGAGGAGACGCUGAGCAUCCUGAGGACCGUAUGGGUCAAGCUGCACGGGCUUCCCAACGCCAGCCCCGUGGAGCAGGCAGCUUUCUUUGUCAUCUUGACCUUCAUCUCGGUGGUCCUGCUCAUGGCGGCGCUGCCCUGCGUGAGCUGCUGCUGCUGCUGCCGCCGCCGCAAGACGAAGAUGAGGGGAUCGAACAUUUGAGCGUCGCAGGACGUGCUGCAAAGGGUCCUCGGGAAUCAACGAGAGGCUUUUUUUCUGCGGCUCGAGUCGUUUAAGUCAACAGACAUUCGACAGCUUUCAGAGGAGCCCAACCCUCGAACAACAAGACGCCUGAAACAUCGCGACUGGCUGACACUCGAUGGAGCUGCCGGGGUUUGGGGAGAAUCUACUUUCUUUGGAGCAUCGCUGCGCAGAGGAACAACAACUCAUCUGGCUCGAGGAAACCCAACUUCUUCAUCUUCAAUAACAGGCUAAUACAUGGAAUAUGAGCGAUUACAAUGUGUAUGGUGAUUUGUUUUUAACUGCAGUGAGAUACGAAUGGGGAAGACGAAAAGGUUUUGUUAACGUGUCAUACUUAAGGAUCGACAAGUGGCGGUCAAAGUCACGCCUAACCUGUUUGGUUCUCUUUAAACAAACCAAGGUCCGUUUUCCCGGUUAGUGCAGUUUUAUUGGGCUGAUAUCGAAGCUGUCAAUCAAACCCCGGUCCGCUUCAGAGUGGACUCUGGCGCGGUUCGUUUGUGGUGGGAGAGCAGACGAACUCAUCACAGGAUUUUACGAAAGUACACAAGGGAUUUUAGCAUGAUUUCAAAAGCUAAACUACUAAUAAAUCCAUCUGCUGAUGCUGACAUCUGUUAUUUGUAUUGAUCUGUAUAGAGCCACGCACAUCACCUGUUAAAGCAAAUAUUCUGCUAAAAACAA
This is a long non-coding RNA of Pseudoliparis swirei, 1145 nucleotides long. RefSeq lists it as uncharacterized. Lineage: Eukaryota; Metazoa; Chordata; Actinopteri; Perciformes; Liparidae. The record is from RefSeq and is a predicted model, not a curated record. The transcript has 3 exons.